GUGUGUGAGAAGGCACAUGGACGGCGUGGGAGGGUCAGUGCGUGGAAAUUGUGAUCCUGGAACCUUGGGGUCUACAAUCGAAGCUGGCAAGUCCUGGUGGGGAAGCAGAGGCGUGCAUGCUCCAAAGCACGUGGGCCCCAACAGGGUUCAUUUUCUUUUCCCUCUCUCCUUGCCUUUGAAACUGCGAGGGCCAAGGGUGGACCUCUCUCCCAGGGCCACUCCCAGGGACAAGGAUGGACCUCUAUCCCACCCCUUAUCUGAGGGCCGCUGCACUCUGCAAUGGACGGCUGUUGAUAUAUUUUUUUCUGGUCCCAGACACCGUUUUUUCCUCAUUUCCAGGCAGCAGGAGCCCACCUCAUGUCUCUCUUAUGGGAUUGGGACAACUCGGCCCAACACACGUAAGAAAAGGACCCACAAAUUGUUCGUUUGUCCUGCUGGGUGAAUUUCUCUGCUUGCUAUACUGAAUUAUUAUUCAUGCUAUCCUCAAUUAUCAAAUAAAAAAAAUUGGAUAAAUAAAAUGGUGGAAUGGAAUAUGCUCCCACGUGCCUAAACCAGGAAGCUGGAAUAUCUUCCCUUCCUUAUUUGUGCUUCAAC
Molecule: unclassified non-coding RNA, 594 nt
Filed under: Hevea brasiliensis (rubber tree)
Lineage: Eukaryota; Viridiplantae; Streptophyta; Magnoliopsida; Malpighiales; Euphorbiaceae
Source: RNAcentral